This 228-nucleotide long non-coding RNA is filed under the name Capsicum annuum. RNAcentral describes it as "long non-coding RNA (CANN_LNC015395)". The record is from RNAcentral. Lineage: Eukaryota; Viridiplantae; Streptophyta; Magnoliopsida; Solanales; Solanaceae.
ACUACUCAGGAAGCAAAGGAAAAAGAAAAGCCCAAAAAAACCUUCGCCACCUCUACUAGUUGAGGUGGAGGAGAGUGAAGAAAGUAAUCCUAAAGUAACAACACUACCUGAAAGUACAGCUUCUGAGCAGCCUGAGUCUGAGUAUUCUGAGUCUUGGGAGCCUAAGUUAGAGUAUGCUAAAUCUGAGCAACCUGAAUCUAAGGGGCUAUCAUAUGAGUCCCCUUCUGC